UGGGGAAUAUUGCACAAUGGGCGCAAGCCUGAUGCAGCCAUGCCGCGUGUAUGAAGAAGGCCUUCGGGUUGUAAAGUACUUUCAGCGGGGAGGAAGGGAGUAAAGUUAAUACCUUUGCUCAUUGACGUUACCCGCAGAAGAAGCACCGGCUAACUCCGUGCCAGCAGCCGCGGUAAUACGGAGGGUGCAAGCGUUAAUCGGAAUUACUGGGCGUAAAGCGCACGCAGGCGGUUGAUUGAGUCAGAUGUGAAAUCCCCGGGCUUAACCCGGGAACUGCAUCUGAUACUGGCAAGCUUGAGUCUCGUAGAGGGGGGUAGAAUUCCAGGUGUAGCGGUGAAAUGCGUAGAGAUCUGGAGGAAUACCGGUGGCGAAGGCGGCCCCCUGGACGAAGACUGACGCUCAGGUGCGAAAGCGUGGGGAGCAAACAGG
RNAcentral lists this ribosomal RNA (429 nucleotides) under Chloroflexota bacterium. RNAcentral describes it as "Chloroflexi bacterium partial 16S ribosomal RNA". It matches the Rfam family "Bacterial small subunit ribosomal RNA", at positions 355 to 776 of the family's 1533-position model. The record is from RNAcentral. Lineage: Bacteria; Bacillati; Chloroflexota.